This 1343-nucleotide ribosomal RNA is filed under the name Anoxybacillus sp. ST4. Its description in RNAcentral is "partial 23S ribosomal RNA". It matches the Rfam family "Bacterial large subunit ribosomal RNA", at positions 1 to 1346 of the family's 2925-position model. The record is from RNAcentral. Lineage: Bacteria; Bacillati; Bacillota; Bacilli; Caryophanales; Anoxybacillaceae.
AGUUAAGUUAGAAAGGGCGCACGGUGGAUGCCUUGGCACUAGGAGCCGAUGAAGGACGGGACAAACACCGAUAUGCUUCGGGGAGCUGUAAGUAAGCGUUGAUCCGGAGAUUUCCGAAUGGGGAAACCCACUGUCCGUAAUGGGGCAGUAUCCAUACGUGAAUCCAUAGCGUAUGGAGGGCACACCCGGGGAACUGAAACAUCUAAGUACCCGGAGGAGAAGAAAGCAAAAGCGAUUCCCUGAGUAGCGGCGAGCGAAACGGGAACAGCCCAAACCAAGAGGCUUGCCUCUUGGGGUUGUAGGACACUCAAUACGGAGUGACAAAGGAACGGAGUAGAUGAAGCGGUCUGGAAAGGCCCGCCAGAGGAGGUAACAGCCCUGUAGUCGAAACUUCGUUCCCUCCUGAGUGGAUCCUGAGUACGGCGGGACACGAGGAAUCCCGUCGGAAGCAGGGAGGACCAUCUCCCAAGGCUAAAUACUCCCUAGUGACCGAUAGUGAACCAGUACCGUGAGGGAAAGGUGAAAAGCACCCCGGGAGGGGAGUGAAAGAGAACCUGAAACCGUGUGCCUACAAGUAGUCAGAGCCCGUUUAUGGGUGAUGGCGUGCCUUUUGUAGAAUGAACCGGCGAGUUACGAUCUCGUGCGAGGUUAAGUCGAAAAGACGGAGCCGCAGCGAAAGCGAGUCUGAAUAGGGCGUAUAGUACGAGGUCGUAGACCCGAAACCAGGUGAUCUACCCAUGUCCAGGGUGAAGGUAGGGUAAUACCUACUGGAGGCCCGAACCCACGCACGUUGAAAAGUGCGGGGAUGAGGUGUGGGUAGGGGUGAAAUGCCAAUCGAACUUGGAGAUAGCUGGUUCUCCCCGAAAUAGCUUUAGGGCUAGCCUCGAGUGAAGAGUCUUGGAGGUAGAGCACUGAUUGGGCUAGGGGCCCUCAUCGGGUUACCGAACUCAGUCAAACUCCGAAUGCCAAUGACUUAUACUCGGGAGUCAGACUACGAGUGAUAAGAUCCGUGGUCAAGAGGGAAACAGCCCAGAUCACCAGCUAAGGUCCCAAAGUGUACGUUAAGUGGAAAAGGAUGUGGAGUUGCUUAGACAACCAGGAUGUUGGCUUAGAAGCAGCCACCAUUUAAAGAGUGCGUAAUAGCUCACUGGUCGAGUGACUCUGCGCCGAAAAUGUACCGGGGCUAAACGUACCACCGAAGCUGUGGGACGACUUACGUCGUCGGUAGGGGAGCGUUCUAAGGGCGUCGAAGCUAGACCGGAAGGACUAGUGGAGCGCUUAGAAGUGAGAAUGCCGGUGUGAGUAGCGAAAACAGAGGUGAGAAUCCUCUGCACCGAAAGCCU